Molecule: RNA transcript, 2221 nt
Organism: Arachis stenosperma
Lineage: Eukaryota; Viridiplantae; Streptophyta; Magnoliopsida; Fabales; Fabaceae
Gene name: choline/ethanolaminephosphotransferase 1-like
Exons: 10
Source: RefSeq, a predicted model, not a curated record
CCAACUCCUACCUACUUUUAUGUGCUUCUUCCUCUCUCCGUCGUCGUACAGUUGCUUCUUCUCUCCGUCGCAUGAGCUGCUUCCGCCGCUGCCGGUUCCGCCGCCGCUGGCAUCGCACGAUCUCUCUCUGUCAUCCCUUGCGUCACACGAGCUCCCUCUGUCGCCGCUCUCGUCGCGUCUACUCCCAUCGUCGCAGAGCUCUCUCCGCCGCCACUCUCAUCGCAUCUGCUCCCUCUGGCGCCUCUUCCAUCUAAUCUCAACAACUCGCUCUCUCGGUUCUUCUCGUAACCAUCUCGAAUUUCAGGACUGUUGAAUAUCAAGUCAAAUCUGUAGCACAGCAUCUGAUUAAGGAACCGUUGUCUAUUUAUUCUUGCAACUGCAAUUUCCCUCUACGCCAAUGUUCUUCUUGCUAAGCGCUCCAUGAAUUUGGUGGAACAAGGCAUAUUAGAUACAGAGAUUUAGCUGGCUUUAUCUAUGGUAUGUGAAAAAUGUUUUAUAUCUGUAGUGUAAGUACCGCUGGAUCAGCUUUAGAGCAUAUUAAGAGGACUCAUGAGGCUGUAAAUGAGAAUGAGUCCAAACAUAUUUCUGCAGCAGUGUCACUAAUCAGGUAUCUAGUGAAUUGAUUGUGAGAAACUGAGAAUAACUGUCAGUAAUGCCCAUGCUUAUUGAAAAUGUGCUUCAUUCAGUCGUAAUCCGCUCUUAAACUAAUACUUUUGUGAUCAACUGAUGCAAUAUCAAUCACUUGUGUGCAGUAAUGCUUCUAAUAGCAAUGAGCAACAUGACAUGGAGAUCAAUUUUGCUCGUGUUACAGCAGAGGAAGAUGUGGCAAAGAACAGCAAUGAUCUCUUUGAGCAGUUUGUUGGUAAGUGUAUGGUUUCAUUGCAUAGCAAAAUUGGUUGCAAAAAAGCAGCAAAAUUAUUUUAUUAUUGGCAUUCUGACGUGUGUGUCCAUUAGCAAUCUGAUUUCAGAACUCUACUCUUUACCAUUUUAGCAUGUUUCAUACCUCCCACCAUUUUAGCAAUCUGUUUCUAAACAUGUGCCGAAUGUCAUUAAAGCAUUGGCCGACUCUUCAAGGCUCAACUUAUUGCCAUUUCGUAGCUGCUCAGAAGAUAAGGCAUGUUUAUGAGAAGCAUUUUCUUUUAAUUAAAUACUAAGUGAGCUUGUGUCAUAACAAUGAAGUUUGUAGACUUUUCGGGAUAAAGAUGACAAGGUUGACGAAUUGCUUACUUCACCAACUCCCAAGGCUUCUGCAAAAGCUCUACCUUCAAUGAGUAAAUUAGGCUUGAAAAGGAUAAAUCCAGAACAAAAUGUGGAUUUUGACACCAAUCUAAUUACUCUGAGCUACUUUGGAGUAUUUAGCAGACAGAGUCCUUUCAGGACUCCACCCUCUUUGUCUCAUUGUCCUGAUAAGGUGCAUCCUAUUAAUGACAUUCAAUGCACUGGACCAUCUGAUCAACUUUAUCUCAGACAGCACAAAAAGGUUUUUUAGUGUAAUUGCACCUGGAGAUACUGUAAACAUAAUCGGUCAAUUUGAUGAAGGAGGAAGUUGUGAUAUAGGCCAUGAAAAUAAUUUCUUGAUUGUGCACCCAGACAUUCUGCUGUCUGGAACAAGGUCCCUUCUGUAUCUUCCACUCGCCAUUGCUAAUGCACUCACGGCAAGACUAAAUGAUGGGGUACCAUUAGUAAAUGAGAAAUUGGUUCUUCUUGGUUUUUGUGCAUAUACAGUGACACUUUACCUGCAUUUCGCCACUACGGUCAUUCACGAGAUCACAAAUGCCUUGGGGAUAUGCUGUUUCAGGAUAACUAGGAAGGAAGCUUGAUGUUUUUGGAUAAUUUUUCUCUAGGAAAAUAAAGAUCCUAAGGUUGUCGCCAUCUUAAUGUCUAUAGCAUUUAUCACAAGUUUGGAUCUUAGAAGAAUUGAACAAGUCGCCAGGAGAAAGAGAAAAUAUUGAAUGGAUCUUAGAAGAAUUGAACAACUUUAACUUAAUUUGGCCUUAAUUUUAGACUAGGUUUAUGUUUAUAUUUAGGCAAUUCUGAUAGUGGUUAGCAACAAGAGCAGAUUGUUUUAUACACUUUUAGUGUAUGUCACGGUACAGAUUUUACAGGUUUUCUUUUUUUCAAUGGUAUUUGUUUUGAAUUAUAGUUGAUGUAUCAAUUUGUUUGUGUUUUGAAUUAUAUUGACUUGUUUGUUUAUAGUACUUUUCUUUUAAUUUGAUAAUAC